Molecule: long non-coding RNA, 5458 nt
Filed under: Brassica napus (rape)
Lineage: Eukaryota; Viridiplantae; Streptophyta; Magnoliopsida; Brassicales; Brassicaceae
Description: long non-coding RNA (BNAP_LNC005881)
Source: RNAcentral
GGGUCUUCGAUGCUUCUUAUCCUUUCUAUGAUUCGUUCUCGUGUCCAUUCAUCGACGGCGAGUUUGACUGCCUCAAGUUCGGUCGACCAGACAAACAGUUCCUCAAGUACUCAUGGCAACCUGAAUCUUGCACCAUCCCAAGGUUUCUAUUUAACUAUUCCCUUAUAUGUCCAACGUUUUUAACGAAACAAUAAAAUUGAGCUAACCAUAUAGUUAACAAAAAUUUGAUUGGUGGGUAUGUAUAAAAUUUCAUUCCAUGCAUUGUUUAUAACCUUUUUUCUAUUUAGUACGAAUUUGUUUAGCUAAAAAAUUAUAAGUUGAAUAAACGUAAUUUCCUAUGUCGUACGUUAUGUUUUGUAAACUUAUUAGAAGUUAGUGUUGAUAUGUAUAUAUGUACUUUGUUUGGUAAACCGUAAACGUGGUUGUAGAGCACCGCAUUGAAGAUAUUCUCUUCACAAUGAAAACGAGUAUUUACAUUAAUGUUAUACAUAAAAGAAGUUAUCAAGUGGAUUGUUUUGUAAGAAUUGUCUAAAGUGGCAACAAGCUGUGAUAAAUUAUAGUAAAGUAUAAAUGCAUGAUGAUGAUCAAUGUUAAUUACUUAAUUUUGUUUAAUCACGUAAUUAGAUUCGACGGUGCGGCGUUUCUGAGGAGAUUGAGAGGGAAGCGAGUCAUGUUCGUGGGAGACUCACUGAGUCUGAACAUGUGGGAAUCGUUGGGUUGUAUGAUACAUGCGUCGGUACCAAAAACCAAGACAACUUUUGUUAAGGGAACCCCACUCUCUACUAUCACUUUCCAGGUCUCUUUCUUUUCUUAAAUAAAAUUAUAAAACUGUGUUCUCCGGAUAAAUACAAAUCUAGUUAUCAAUCCUCACGAGGAAUAGUUGUCAUUAACGAAAAUGAAUUGGCUUGUCAUAAAUACUGAAUGCUUAUUAGUCACGGACUAUUUAAUAUAUUCGUAUUUAGAAAAGAGAUGAAAAGGCUGUAUGGUGCUAAUAAUGCUUAUUAUCAUAUUGUUGCUAGUGUUCGAUCACACCCACUUGCCUACAUCCCUUUAAAGUUUAUUUGAUUUUCAGUCUACAAUUCUACAUUAUGAGAAAAGUGACACAUACAUGAGUAUUAAUACGUCUAGAAGAAGAUAUUUGAUAGAAACAUAUAAAGUUUUCCAUUUAGUGAAAAUUUUGAUUUGUUAUUGUUCAUUCGAAAGCUAUUUUUCAUUUUAACCAUAAAUGUGCAAAGUUCUCUGUCAUUCAUGAAACCAAAAACAAUGUGAAAUGACAUGUCUUCUUCACUUGAUGUGGACCUCCAAACUUUUUUCUUUUAUUUGUUUAAAAUUUAAAUAAUGUUUACUUUUUAUGUAUUUACCACUGUGCCAAAAUUUUGUUUUUAUAUUCUUGAUACCAUAGAUAAUAAUAAAAACAAAUAUAAAGGACGUAAUACGUAAAGGAAGUACACUAACAACAACUCCAACAGUCCAGCUUGUUCUUUACUUUUCCCUCUGACAAUUUUCUACUGUUCUCUUUGUUCUGCAAAACCUUUUUUUCCUUUCAUUUAAUAAUUUUCUUAUUUUUAAUGGAAAUAGAUAUUUUGAAAACCCCUGAUUUUAUUUCAUUUUAUGAAAAACAGGAAUAUGGAGUGACGUUACACCUAUAUAGAACAACAUACAUAGUGGAUAUAUCCAAAGAGAAAAUAGGGCGUGUGCUUAACCUUGGAGCCAUUGAUGGAGGUGCUGAUGCUUGGAAAAACAUGGACGUCCUUGUCUUUAACUCUUGGCAUUGGUGGACUCACAAAGGCCAAUCUCAAGGGUCAGUACCAAUGAUUAACCACAUCUUUAAUUUAAACCCAAUAUAUAUUAUCCUUUGUACAACUUAAUGUUGAAUCUUUCUUCUUCUUUUUUCUUGAUGUUUAAUUUAAAUUUAGGUGGGAUUAUAUUAGAGUUGGGUCUUCUUUGGUAAGAGACAUGAACCGUCUUGACGCUUUCUACAAAGGACUUACCACUUGGGGUCGAUGGGUUGAUCAAAACGUCGAUACCACCAAGACCAAAGUUUUCUUCCAAGGCAUUUCUCCCACUCACUACGAGUAAGUCCAAUUACAUUGCGACUGUUGCCAAACGUUAUUUUGCGUAUUCGUUAUGUAAAAUGCACACGCAAAACACAAACAAACAAUCAAGAUGCAUUUGUGUAUUUUACCAAAAAAAAAAAGAUGCAUUUGUGUACAAUUAUCUAUGGUUUGAGAAAAUAGCGUUCAAACACAAACUAAAUCGGUUUUGUGUUUCUUGUGGAUGACAGGGGACGAGAAUGGAACGAGCCGAGAAAGAGUUGUAAUGGGCAAAUGCAGCCGUUGGAUGGAUCAAAUUACCCAAGUGGCCAGCCUCCAUCUGCAGGAGUUGUGUCCAAAGUGUUGAGUUCGAUGAAAAAACGUGUGUUCUUGCUAGAUAUCACCACUUUGUCUCAGCUGAGAAAAGAUGCUCAUCCUUCUACUUACGGUGGCGAUGGAGGAAAUGAUUGCAGCCAUUGGUGCCUCCCCGGGUUGCCUGAUACUUGGAACCAACUUCUCUACGCAGCACUUUCCAUGUGAAUUGAGUAAAGUGCAAACACACACCUUCAUUCUGUAAAUUACAUUCUUGGAGGUGCAAAGAAUCUGACAGUUUGCGUUGGGUGAAGGGUUAAGUGAAGACUAGAGACAUAAAGAAGAUGGAUUGUAAAGCGCCUUUAUAUUAUUUUGUAUGGGAGAAGCAAUAAUCUCAAAUUGUCUAGUGUUGUGUGACUAUAUAGAAACAUACUCAAUAAUAAUACACUAUUUUGGUAACUCUUGGCUUACUUUGAUUUGAAGAGCGAAGCUGUACUUAUGUAGAUCUCCAUUGAAAUAGAUUUGUGUAGACUUUUGACAUUCUCAUUAACAACACUAAUAUCGUAUCAAUGUACCAUGAACAUAUGUAAACUCACAUUCAAAAGCUACCUGAAGAGGAGUGCCAUACACUUAUAUUACUCACAUUCUCACUCAAUUCUCCACGUGGGAUCCUAACAGACCCUCUCACAUUCGGAUCUAGACAUCAGAACGUGAAGUUUGUGACACUAGAUAUCCAUCCACAUGUGGGCCACAGUCCGAGAAACUGAAAGUGAUGGCAUAACCACUUCCCAAACUACCUCAAAAGUGAAGAAUGUCACACACUCAACUCUAGUCUCCAUGUACGGUUCUAAUAACACGAAUCUAACCAAUAACAGUACUCUUACAUGAUAUUCAAUUGUACAAGAAGACCAUGGCGUCUAGAAUUACAGAAGAAAAAAAACUUGAUCUUGAAGAGCCCUAGAGGAGAGCAAUUUGAGAAUUCAAUUGAAAUCACCUCAAGGGAAAUUGAAUCCCUUUUCGAUGAGGAUCUGCACGCAGCUCGUCUUCUUCUCCUUCUUCUCAAUCUCUCUAUCUUCUUCUUCCUCAUCAGUCCUCCUCGAGUUCAGAACAAUGGCUUUCACAACAUCCCUCAAAGGAAUCUUAAGCUUCUUCGCCGGAGACUCCAAUCUUGAAGAUGAUGGCAAGAGAUUAGCCGAUUUCUCCAAAGGAAUUGAAUCAACAGGAGCCGUACGAUCCUCCUCUGAAUCAACGGUAUCAGGGCUUUCUGGGGGAGAGACUAAUCGAACCGCGUGGCUCUCCACCUCGUAACCCACCGAACCGUUCACACUAUCAGAAUCAUCGGAAUCUCGGCGAGGCGCGGUUCCGGCGUUUAACGGCGAGGCUCCGAGGACGGAGGGAUCGGAGUCUGGAGGAACGCCUCGUUGAGCGAAGCCGCAGCUCCGGAGGAAAAUCUCCUGAGACGCGGUUUCGUGGCAGUAAUCGAAGAAGGAACUGAUCUUGUUGUUGUUGUUGUUUCCUUCCAUCGUCUCUCUCUCUCUCUCUGCAAACGAACUGUUGUCUCGCAGGGAGGGAUGCUUCGAUUUACAACUUUCUAGGGUUUAAGGAGGGAAUGCUUUUUCCCGCUCACUUUAGUUUCGAGGCGGUCUGCUACCAAACGCGUUUAUUCAUUGAACGCACACCAAACGCUUUCAUUCCAUGUAAUACUCGAACUGAAAUCAGCCAAAAAAACAUUUUUCCAGUUGGGUUUAGAUCUGAACAUUUUACGGUAGGUUAUAUUACUCGGGUUAUAUAUUUGUGACUAUUCAGAUAUAGUUUCUAUUAUUCUUAAUAUUAUUUUAGGUUUUAUUUCCAGUUUUUCAGGUACAUUUUAUAUCUUAAAUGUUUUUAAGAGUUUAAAUAAAUUUUAGAUAUUCAAAUACAUUUCUAGCAUUAUGGGUUCUAAACACCCGAAACUAAUCUGAUAAAAAAAAGUUAGGAUAUUAGCGGUUCUAAAAAUUGAAACCCAAAUCAAGAACAACCUUGAAAGCCAAUCAAAACACAUGCAUAUCCCAUAUGAGUCCAAAACUCUGACUGGCAUUUUCAAACUAUACUUUAUUUUUCAUUCUAAAAUAAAAUUUAGAUUCUUUAGAAGAAAAAUAUUCUAAUAGUACUUUAUUUUUUGCUCUAUAAUAGAGUAAAAAGUGAGUUUAUUCUAUAUAUAGAAAAAAAUGUUUUUAUUUGUUUAUUGCUCUAAUUUUUACUAUAAAAUAAAAUACUAUUGGAAUAUAAUUCAACUCUAUUAUAGAAUUAAUCUAUUUUAGAGUGAAAAAUAAAGUAAACCAUUGGAAAUGGUUUUAAAUCCAAAAAACUUAGAUCCGAUUAGAUUAGAACCGACUCAGACUUGAUCCAAAAAACCUAAAUGUCCAGGCGUGGCUAAGACUGAAACAUUUGUUUCUAUGAUUCAAUGUUUAAACUGAAAUUGAGAUAGUGAGAAACAAACUUUUUGUUCUGAAAACAAAAAGUGACUGCAAAGUUAUCCCUUUCACCUAUCUUCUUCCAUUAGGACAUUUGUUCUAACUCCACAAAUAUGUGUAUAAAAGCUUGAACCCAUCAGCAAGCUUCUUCACAAAAACCCAAAACAUAAGAUUUUUGUUUACUAGAAAAAAGAUGGGUUUCAACUUCAUCUCUCUCCUUUUUCUUCCACUUCUAUCAGUCACAAUCUUGUCGGGACUCGAGCAGGCUUUGGCUUCCGACAACACACUCCUCAAGAACACCAACCACCGCAACAGCACGGCGGACGGUGGGAUGUCGUCGCUGAGAGGGAAGAAGCAGAGGAGUGGAUGUAACUUGUUCCAAGGCCGAUGGGUCUUCGAUGCUUCUUAUCCUUUCUAUGAUUCGUUCUCGUGUCCAUUCAUCGACGGCGAGUUUGACUGCCUCAAGUUCGGUCGACCAGACAAACAGUUCCUCAAGUACUCAUGGCAACCUGAAUCUUGCACCAUCCCAAGGUUUCUAUUUAACUAUUCCCUUAUAUGUCCAACGUUUUUAACGAAACAAUAAAAUUGAGCUAACCAUAUAGUUAACAAAAAUUUGAUUGGUGGGUAUGUAUAAAAUUUCAUUCCAUGCAUUGUUUAUAA